RNAcentral lists this ribosomal RNA (452 nucleotides) under uncultured bacterium. RNAcentral's name for it is "partial 16S ribosomal RNA". It matches the Rfam family "Bacterial small subunit ribosomal RNA", at positions 28 to 507 of the family's 1533-position model. The record is from RNAcentral.
GAUGAACGCUGGUGGCGUGCCUAACACAUGCAAGUCGAGCGAUUCUCUUCGGAGAAGAGCGGCGGACGGGUGAGUAACGCGUGGGUAACCUGCCCUGUACACACGGAUAACAUACCGAAAGGUAUGCUAAUACGAGAUAACAUGCUUUUAUCGCAUGGUAGAAGUAUCAAAGCUUUUGCGGUACAGGAUGGACCCGCGUCUGAUUAGCUAGUUGGUGAGGUAACGGCUCACCAAGGCGACGAUCAGUAGCCGACCUGAGAGGGUGAUCGGCCACAUUGGAACUGAGACACGGUCCAAACUCCUACGGGAGGCAGCAGUGGGGAAUAUUGCACAAUGGGCGAAAGCCUGAUGCAGCAACGCCGCGUGAGAGAUGAAGGCCUUCGGGUCGUAAAGCUCUGUCCUCAAGGAAGAUAAUGACGGUACUUGAGGAGGAAGCCCCGGCUAACUACGUG